UAAUACGUAGGGGGCAAGCGUUGUCCGGAAUGACUGGGCGUAAAGGGCGUGUAGGCGGCCGAUUAAGUCUGGAGUGAAAGUCCUGCUUUCAAGGUGGGAAUUGCUUUGGAGACUGGUUGGCUUGAGUGCGGAAGAGGUAAGUGGAAUUCCCAGUGUAGCGGUGAAAUGCGUAGAGAUUGGGAGGAACACCAGUGGCGAAGGCGACUUACUGGGCCGUAACUGACGCUGAGGCGCGAAAGCGUGGGGAGCGAACAGG
This 256-nucleotide ribosomal RNA is filed under the name uncultured bacterium. RNAcentral describes it as "partial 16S ribosomal RNA". It matches the Rfam family "Bacterial small subunit ribosomal RNA", at positions 521 to 776 of the family's 1533-position model. The record is from RNAcentral.